This is a long non-coding RNA of Acanthochromis polyacanthus (spiny chromis), 1817 nucleotides long. RefSeq lists it as uncharacterized. The record is from RefSeq and is a predicted model, not a curated record. NCBI's taxonomy places the organism in Eukaryota, Metazoa, Chordata, Actinopteri, Pomacentridae. The transcript is spliced from 7 exons.
CCUGGCCAACUUCCGUGUAUUGCUCUUUUGCUGCCCACACUCAAGCAGAGCGUUCAUGGUCGUUGCCGUUCCGUCGGCGGAGAGAGGAUUGGCAUUUUGGUGAGCAGUGACAUCGAGGGAACGCUGGGAUAUCCACUCCACAGCGUUUUAGGUCAGGUUUUAUUCUGGGACGAGUCCACGGACCAGUCCAAGGAUUCCGGUUCCAGUGUUCCACUGGAUGGCGAGCUAACCAAGAAGUCUGGAACGAGAUACACACAUACACACAAUUGCACACUGAUGGACUGCGAUUCCCUGCUGCAACGUCUGAAGCGAUGCAUAUUUCAGUCCUAACAGCCGGCAGCACGCCCAAAAUUGAAUGCUGCAAGACAUGCUGCAAACAAGUCCACUGUCCGCUGUGCCUAAAGUUUAAACCUGCCGAACUGUCCAAGCUGCAGAGCCACUUGGAGGCACACAAAAAAGGUGGCAUUUCAUUUAAAGAUAAAAUUAUAUGCAGAUGUGGACUGAACUGCAGGGAUCAGGGACACUACCAUUGUCCUGUGUGCAGUAAAACUGUUUUGAGAAGGACAGACAUGACCAAACACUUGGAGGUUUGCCAGCGUGCCAUGACUGCUGCCUCUCCAGAAAAGACCUCUCCUCCUACCCACAAAAAUGGUUGUUGCUAGAGGUACGGACCCGUACCCGUAGCCUGUGGACUACGGAUACGGCACUUGCCAUUUGCCAAUCAGAUACGCAGGAUCUGGUCACGUGACUCCCGGUAGACGCUAGCUGUACGGACCCGUAGCAUCGGUACGACAGGUACGGACCCUAAACCUGACCCUAACACUAACCCUAACCUUAACCUUUGCUUACCUUUCAACAGUUUGCAGUGGUUAGCAGCUUCUUGACUCGCGAGACUCGAGUACGGGUCCGUAUCUGUCUGGCAAAUGGAAAGUGCCAUACCCGUAGCCUGUGGGCUACGGAUACGGACCCGUAUCCGUAGACACUACCCACAAAAAUACAGCUGCAGAGUCCACCUCGGUCUUGAUGCCGGAUCUCUCCUCUUCCAGUUCACCUUCAGCAGAGCAACAAACCUCAACUGCCACACCUCUGUCCACGCUCCUGCAAGCCACAGUCUCAACCUCUCAAGAUUUGCAAGAUACAGCUGCAGUGCCCUCCUUGGUUUUACCUGCUGCCACAGAGAAAAGACGUUCAAGAUUAUCCCUGAAAAAGGAUAAAUGCCCUCAUUGUAACCAGACAAUCUACAAAAAAAAAUGGUCACACAUAUCCAGAGAAAACACAGUGGAAAAUCAAAGGACAUAAACGUUAAGAAUCACUUCAUGAGUGUCUGUGUCGAUGCCACCAAUGGCAUUUCUGCAGUGCAGAAAACAAGGCAUGGGUUUUAGACUGAAGCAAAAACUGGAUGACAUGACUGAGGCUGAGGAGAGGAAGAAAAUGUGCCACCAGGUAGAGACAAUGGAACCAGCUCACCAGGUGGAGACAACUGAAGAAGAGACCAGUAUGGUGGGCCAAGUUGUGGCCCACUGCAAACAAGCAGCGGAAUGGGUGCAGGGGAACCCACAACUGUUUACAGCCAGGGUGGAGAUGCCAGAAAUUUGAAACAUGGACAGCAGAUCUAUUGAGGAGGCUCAACAGCAACUGGCAGACUUGUUCGAUGCCACCCAGGACAUUGAUGAUGAUGAGAGAGAAUUCAUUCUGGAGCCCUUCAAGUUUUUCUUUUACAACAUUGAGGAUAUGUUUGUCUUCUGUGAAGAGGUUAUGGAUAACCGACGCUACAUGGCAUAUUGUGAAUUCAAAGACAAAUAAAACGUUUGAAAGUU